GGUUAUUCACUUCAUGUUGACCAGCGUGACCUUGUUGUUGGAUCCUGAAAUAUAACAAGAAGGAUAUGAAGUCUCAUACAAUUGAAGAAAAUCAACCAAUGUGCUAGCUUAUAUCUUAGGCGUCUAGCACACAGGAUGCUUUUAUUGGAGGCAUUAUAUUACAUGUCAUUAACAAGGUUAAUAGAAGUAUUGUUAGUGAAUCUAUCAAGAAAUGUGGACAUGGAGAUCUCACUUGAAAUCAAGGACUUUAGAGCCUGUUUUGAGAUGCAUGCAGGUAGAUGAUCCUGCAUUUGCUAAUGUAACUGUUGGCAACUGCGGAUCAACAGAUAGUUAUUUACACUCUGUUAUGAAUUAAGGAAGUAAGGGUGCAUUUGGAUGCACUUUACAAUCACUAUAUUUGGUGAUUUUAGAAAUUCCAAUUCAUUAUUUUCAGAAUUCUGCUGUCUGGUGGUGCUGUAGAAAUUCAUAAAACUCCUUAAAUCAUGAAAUUGAAAGAUUUUCUUACUUUAGUAAGAUUUUCUAAGUUCAUAAAUUUCUCCUCCCUAUCAUCUUGAAACUUUGUAUCCUAGAUC
RNAcentral lists this long non-coding RNA (572 nucleotides) under Phoenix dactylifera (date palm). Its description in RNAcentral is "long non-coding RNA (PDAC_LNC004341)". The record is from RNAcentral. Lineage: Eukaryota; Viridiplantae; Streptophyta; Magnoliopsida; Arecales; Arecaceae.